This is a long non-coding RNA of Cydia amplana, 4133 nucleotides long. RefSeq lists it as uncharacterized. The transcript is spliced from 3 exons. The record is from RefSeq and is a predicted model, not a curated record. NCBI's taxonomy places the organism in Eukaryota, Metazoa, Arthropoda, Insecta, Lepidoptera, Tortricidae.
GAAUUGAUGUCUGAAUGCUCCGAUAAUGUAACGCAGCGGCACCCGCACCAGAUGUCCAUAAUUUCGUCCAAUCCUUUCGUAGGUAUAAUUUAGGCAGUGCCAACAGAUCUUCAGCAACAUUCUUAAACGGAAACAUAUCCCCACAACUGAUGGCAUCUCGAGCUAUGUCAUCCACCCUUUCAUUACCCUUAAUCCCUCUGUGCCCAGGGACCCAGGCAAUGGAAACCGAAUAACCUUUGUGGUGACAUUUUAACAGUAGGCUACGGAUUUGGUAAAUAAUUGGGUUAUUAGAUUUAGAUUUGAAAGGAAAUUUAGAUAUUGCCUGAAGUGAACUUAGGGAAUCUGAGAAAAUAAUUGUUUUUUUGAGAUGCAUUAUAAUGAUGAACUCUAUUGCUUUCAGGAUUCCAAAGCACUCACCACUGUACACAGAGGAUUCCGGUGGCAACUUUAUUUUUUGAUAAAUAUUAGAUUGGGUGUGGAGAACACCAAUGCCAACACAACCAUUGUCUGACAUCUUAGAAGCGUCUGUGUAUAUAUGAUCGGCACCCAGGCCAUCUGUUCCAAUGAAUCCCAGGAAUUGUUGAUUUUGUUCAACAUCAUUCUUGGAGACACCAAUAUCGAGGAGAACCGGAGGAACAAGAGUCAGAGAAUCAUAUUCAUAUUGGAAAAUGGGAAGUGUCGAAGAACUAACAGUGGAAGCUGAUAUAGAUUUAAGUUUUUGAAAACUUUUGAUAAAGCAAGGAGGACUCUUGUGUUUCCAAUAGUUAGAAGUAGUUAUUUGAAGCAGGAGGUUAGACAAGAUAGUCCAAAGUUGGUGAUUAGAGAAUUGGGAACAACGGAAAAUAAACCUAUCACAAAGAUAUUGGCGUCGUAAAUGAAGAGGAGGCUCAGCACACUCAACUUGCAUAGCAUUGAUAGGACUCGAAUUCAUGGCACCACAAAUCAAUCUCAAUGCUUUGGAUUGAAUACGAUCUAGUUUUUGAAAGCCAGCUACAGAUCCUGGCUCUAACAAAAAUGUCCCAUAGUCUAGAAUACUUCUAAUCAAGGCAUUGUACAUUAGUUUCAUGCAAAAAGGAUGUGAACCCCACCAAACUCCUGAAACGCACCUGAGGACAUUAAUAUUUUUUUCACAUUUAGAAACUAUGUAAUCACAAUGUGGAAGACCCGUUAAUUUAUUAUCUAAAAUAACACCCAGGAACUUGGUUUUAUCUUUAAUGGAAAUGGAGCUGUUAUUAAAUUGCACAUUGAUUGGAGGAGGAAACAUUUUUCUAGUAAACAAAACUACAACACUUUUAGGCACUGAGAGUUCCAGACCAUUUGAAUCUAACCAUAACUUCAAUAAGCCCAAAGAACACGUGACGGAUCUACUGGCCUGUUCAAUAGAAAGGUUUGGGGAAUAUAAUAAUAAAUCAUCAGCAUAUUGCAAGACUGUAACAGUGUUAUUUAAGGAUGACUCUAAAUCAAAUGUGUAGAUAUUAUAUAACAAGGGACUUAAUACAGAUCCUUGUGGAAGCCCUCUCCACACUAAACGGGAAAUCUUAUUGUAGUCGUCUAUGAGAAGGCUAAUUGACCUUUCUGAUAAAAGGUUUAUUAUGAAAUUGCUUAACAUUAUUGGUAUAGCUAAUUUGUGAAGUUUUGCUUGUAACACUGAGACUAAGACAUUAUCAUAAGCGGCUUUUAUGUCUAGAAAAGCAGCUACAACAGACUCGUUUCUAGAAAAUGCCAAUCGAAUAUCUGAAAUUAAAAUACCCAAGCUAUCAUAAGUAGACCUACCUUUUCGGAAUCCAAAUUGACUAUGAGAAAGUAAUUGAUUUUUUUCUACAAAAUAUUCUAAUCUGUUUUUAACUAAAUGUUCUGCUACUUUAACAAAUACUGAGGAAAGGGCAAUCGGACGAUAUGAAGAAACAUCUGACACUGGUUUGAAGGGCUUUAAAAUAGGAAUAACUAUUUGAGAUCUCCAAGAAUCAGGGAUUUUACCAGACUGGAUAACAGAAUUUAUUAUAUUUAGAUAAUAAGAAAGAAUACCAUCACUGGCUUUUGCUAAAAAGGAAUAAGGGACUCCAUCUUCCCCAGCUUCCUUGCGGUUUCUGAUUGCUUGAGAGCAAUCAUCAUCCCACCAAGGCGGAGAAGGAAUUUUACCAGAUGCACUGUUUUUUACUGGGAAAAUUUUAUCAGCUGCUUCAAUCAUUGUCUGGGCUAAAGCAACUGAGCAACUAACUACAUUACUAUCAUCUAUGGUUGGUAAACAUAACAAUUUCUCCUCUACACGGGUUUUGAAAAGUUUCCAAUCAACAUUACUUAAAUUAUACUUAAGCCUAGGGCUCGGUUUUGGAGAUGGUGGAAUAGAAGAUGGAAAUGUAAUAAUGAUAGGGUAGUGGUCACUCCCAUAUGUCGACUCCAGAGUGUGCCAAGUGAGAGAAGACGCCAGAUCGACUGAACAAAUUGACAAAUCAAUAGCGCUAAUUGACUCUGUUGGAGCUGUUCGGCGGGUUGGAGAUCCAUUGUUUAAAACACAAAGAUUGUGUUCGUCUAAGAUUUGUAUGAGACGAUCUCCAUUAUAAUUAGACAAUGAACUACCCCAAACCUGGUGAUGUGAGUUAAAAUCUCCUAAAAUUAAAACGGGCCGAGGAAGAGAAGAAAUUAUUUGUUCAAGCUCAACAAAAAUGGAUGAUGAUGGAUGUGGAAUAUAUACAGAAAUGAUACAGAUGUUAUUUACAAUGGCAGCAACAAUUGAAAAAUUAUCGCUAUGAGAUGGAAGAUGAAACGGUGAAAAUGAUAUGGAAUUUCUGACGAGUAGAGCUACUCCGCCCCAUCCGCCAGGACGGUCCUCUCUGAGACAUGAAUAUCCCGUAGCUCUAAGAAGAGCUCCAGGCUUGAGCCAUGUCUCAGAAAGGGCAAAAACAAACGGUUGAAAUUUAUUUAAUAAAUGAAUUAAAUCUUGUUUUUUAUUUAUUAUACUUCUGCAGUUCCACUGCAUAAUUUUGGCCAUUAUUUUUAAUAGUUAAUACAAGUUCUUCAAGCAUGGGGGCAACGUGGGACGGUAUUCUUACAUUAGGCUGAGAUAAAUGCUUAAUUAAUGCUUGGAUUUCCUCAGCUACUGAUACAUUAUCUUUUUGAGACUCCUGCUGUAGUGCACAGCCAUUUUGAGGAGAUGGAAUGAUACAUUCUUUAACUAAAGCAUUAUGAGCUGCUACAUCAUACCCUAUUAUGUGUUUUUUUACUGUACGUGGUUUCAAAAAUGUUGUCUUUUUAUAACUAUGUGACUGCAUUGUUGUACCUGGGGCUGGAAUAUGGACACUGCGGUGUAAAUUUGACUGAGACUGUGGAGGUGAUUGUGUCAGAAGGACGUCAGCAAAUGAUUUUGAAACAGCUGGAUGUAAUUUAACAGCUUCACCAUACGAAAUACAAUUGUUAGCCAUAGUUACUUUAAUAUCCUUCUGUCUCUUAUGCUCCGGGCAAGCCCUGUUCGUGGCGAAAUGAAAACCAUUGCAAAGGCAGCAAAUGGCAUCUUCUUCCUCCACUGAACAGAGGGUUGCCACGAAACGGAACCAUUAACUGUAACUCUAUGGUUCAAGCGCCGAACUUUAAGAACUUUUCCGCACCCAAUGGGCACGGAAAUGUUAGACACUAUUUCCUCCUCGGACCACUGCGAUGGAAUACCACGAACUAAGCCCAUGCGCGUUACUGUAAACGACGGUAUGUAUGCUAAUAAAUUUUCUUUGUCAAGUUGAGGAUUGGUCACAAACAAAUUAGCAUCAAUAUGAUUUGCAAAAGCCAUAGAAAUUCGAGUCCUACCAAUACGUUUCACACUACCAUUUAUUAUAUUUUUGAAGCCGUUUUUUACUAAGAACCUACCAAAAGACACCGGGUGCAGGGACGAGUUAGGCUCAGUAUGUUUUAAUUGAACAUGCACCGUAAACGGUGCAACAUCAGAUGAUGAAAAUAAAUUUCUGCCAACUUUUGGUGUUUGAAUAUCAGAAACUACUUUAUUUGUGUUUGUGUCAGGAUUUGUAAUAGAACGAGGUUGGGUCUUCUGUACAAUUUCACACUCGCAAACAUAUUCCCCAACAUCAUUACACUUUCUCUUUUUUUUACACUCUUUGCACCUCUUGUUUCUAUAUACUUUUCUUUUC